GCACUGAUGGUCCAGUGGUAGAAUUCUCACCUUCUAUGUGUGAGACCUGGGUUUGAUUCCUGGCUAGUGCA
This 71-nucleotide transfer RNA is filed under the name Loxodonta africana (African savanna elephant). It matches the Rfam family "tRNA". From Rfam's summary of the family: Transfer RNA (tRNA) molecules are approximately 80 nucleotides in length. Their secondary structure includes four short double-helical elements and three loops (D, anti-codon, and T loops). Lineage: Eukaryota; Metazoa; Chordata; Mammalia; Proboscidea; Elephantidae. The record is from Rfam by way of RNAcentral.